Solea solea (common sole) is the source of this 1774-nucleotide long non-coding RNA. RefSeq lists it as uncharacterized. The transcript is spliced from 3 exons. The record is from RefSeq and is a predicted model, not a curated record. NCBI's taxonomy places the organism in Eukaryota, Metazoa, Chordata, Actinopteri, Pleuronectiformes, Soleidae.
ACAGCUCCACACAGUAGAUGAAGAAAUAGAAUAAGGUGGAGAACAGUAAAUGUAAACUUUCUGAUAUUAUGAAACACAAUUUUGACAGCGUAUAUAGCCUUACACCAUCUCUUUAAAAGUCAUUGAAAAAAUUAAAUACUCAUUGUGAUUAUGUAAUGUAUGAAUUCCUACAAAUAUUUUAUUUACCAAAUCUGUAAGGUGCUGGAAAAACCUGACUUGGGACGAUGAAAGUUCUUGAAAAGUGCUUGAAUUUGACCUUGGAAAAAGGUGUUUGAACAUCCACAGGAUGAUUUAGGUACCUUGAGAGACGAGGCGAUGGAGAAGGAGCGGGGCUGGAUCUCGGGGAAAAGGUCCAGGAGAUAGUCUGCUUUGAUUUCUGUUGUCGUGUGAGGGAAAUCUGUCAAAACCUGCAGCGAGACAAGCAUCACAUUCUUGCGCCCUCUGCUGUCACCUCCAGUGCCGUGCGUCGCGGCUGGUUGCAGUAGCUGUGCAGGUCAGUCUGACCCUCUGCUGAGCUGAACUCCUUCAGCUUAUCCUGCUCCAGCUCGUUGGUGGCGAAGGUCGACAGCAGCUCGAAGAAGGAGCGGCGAGGAACGGCGGCGAUGUCCAAGUAGGUCUCCACCAGGUGGCGCACGGUGCAGGGCUGAGGAAGCCUGGCAGGAACUGAGAAGAUGAGUAGGUUUUUCCAAAGAAAUCAAGUUUGGACAAAUAUUACAUUCCACACAGAACUACUGGUCCUGACGAGGUCGUAAAGAGGUAACAAAUACAAGGAAACCCACACACACUUACCUGCAGUGUUGUCUGUUGCUCUGAGUGCAAACGUCGCCUCAGGAUUUAAUCUCAGCAGUUGGCAGAAUUGUUGGACGUCUGCAGGUGCGUUACACGGAUACAUCAUCACCACGUCACCAGCACCGAACCUGCACAACAGCAUCAUCACAGAUAAUGACAACUCAAGCCUUUAUAACAUCAACUAUUUCCACACUAAAGGAGGAGGAAAACAAUCCUGUAUAUGUGUCAGGACCUCAUACAAUUGCACUUAAAUAAACUUUGAUGUUCACUUACUGGAUCCUGGAUCCACUGAUGUCGAACUCGAUGUGCCUCACGUCCUGGAAGUGAGACGUGUCGGUCACUCUCCUGUUGGACACCAGUUUGGCAGGAAAGGGUUGAGACUGAGAGGGAACAGUUUGUUCGGUGGAAAUCCUGCACCUGUCGUCUGCUUCCUCCUUCACAUCAUCCAGGAAGUGGAAGGUGUACGUCGGAGGGAGUCUGAAACAUAAAACCCCCAAAUCUAAAUCUAAAAAAACCAGAAUGAGAACCUGUUUAUUUCUAAAAUUAAAGUGGAGACUCACGGUUCAUCCUCCCUCAGUGGAUUCACGGCAGCUAAAGACGGGUACAAGGCAAACACCUUCUCCCACAGUGAUGUGAGCCAUGGGUCAAUAACGGCGUCUGCCCUGUUUCAAGCACAUGACCGUGAACAUAUGACGUUCGGAGGAAGAAAAAACAAACUUCCACUUCAUGUUCAGGAACUAACACUGCCUCUUACCCCAGGUCGUGUUGAUCGUCUGCCAGUCCAGCAGGCAGCAGAGGACUGGCUCCCAGCUGCAGCAGCCGCUUAUGGAGCUUCUUAGCCACAAAGUUGAACCUUUAAAUCAAACCGUUUCUGAUUAUUAAAAGGAUAGUUAAAGUUUUAAGCAAGAUAAGUGUAAACGUGGAGAGACUGACUUUGGAUACGAAGAGUCCCCGAGGCCCAGUACAGCACAAUCCAGGCGACUCA